GACCAACAUUUAACUUGGAUGUAAAACACUCGACAGUCAGUAUUCGGCAUCAGUCAUGGAGGUUACAUCUGUCUGCAUUUUGAUGAAGAUGUUUGUCCGGCUGACUGAACAAACUGAACACAGCUAUACAGCUCAGAAUGCUGGUUGAAGCUGCAGUUUGUGGCGUAUGCAACCUCCAGAUUUGUCGAUCAGAACCUUUGAAAGACAGAUCGCCUCCAGAACCAAAUAGAAUCUACGGUAGUCCCUAGCAAGCUGCUUUGACUGCUCAGCUCUGUUGGGCUGCUUGCUCUCUACCAGUUACUUCCUCCCUCUGGAUUACUGUUCCACUCCGCUUUUACAUCAGCAGAAAUUCCCCCCGUGACACACACCCUCUUCAAGACAUCACCAUUACUAUUCCACCUCCAGGAUCACCAGGGCCCCCCAACACCUUCCCCGUCCUUCCACACGGAUCAAACUGCUUCUUCUCUGGAAAACGAACACAUGAUUCUCAACAAGCCAAAACAG
This is a long non-coding RNA of Girardinichthys multiradiatus, 504 nucleotides long. RefSeq lists it as uncharacterized. The record is from RefSeq and is a predicted model, not a curated record. The transcript is spliced from 4 exons. NCBI's taxonomy places the organism in Eukaryota, Metazoa, Chordata, Actinopteri, Cyprinodontiformes, Goodeidae.